Molecule: ribosomal RNA, 242 nt
Filed under: uncultured bacterium
Lineage: Bacteria
Description: partial 16S ribosomal RNA
Rfam family: Bacterial small subunit ribosomal RNA
Source: RNAcentral
AAUCAACGCUGGCGGCGUGCCUAACACAUGCAAGUCGAACGCGAAAGUCCCGCAAGGGGCAAGUAGAGUGGCAAACGGGUGAGUAACACGUGGGUGACCUGCCUUCGAGUGGGGGAUAACGUCCCGAAAGGGACGCUAAUACCGCAUGACAUCCUGCUUUUGGAAAAGCGGAGAUCAAAGCCGGGGAUCGCAAGACCUGGCGCUCGAAGAGGGGCCCGCGCCUGAUUAGCUAGUUGGGAGGU